UUUAAUAAUUGCAUUUUAUUACUUCUUAAAUAAAUAUGACUUUAAAAAAACAUUACAUUACGUAAAAGCAAAUAUGAAAACAAAAAGCAUACAAUAAUUAAGCAAUAGUAUUAUAAAUCAUUUAUGCAUAAAUGAGACAAAUAUAGACUAUUUAGUAUUGAUUCAAUAAAUUAACAUAAAUAUAUAUUGGUUUGUAUCAUUUAAAAAAAAUUGAUACAAAUCUAUAUAUUUACAUCAAUAAACAAUCGUUGUAUUUACUAUUUUUUAUUAGUGUCACUAAUAAAAUGAUACAAAAUAAAAAAUCAAUUAAAUAAAAGAUACAAAAUUAGUAUCAAUAAUAAAAUGAUGCUAAUACAAAAUUAGUAUCAAUAAUAAACAAUCAUCACAUGAUUAUAAAACUCUUCUCUAUGAACUCUUUCCAGUGAUGAAUGAUGAUCAAAUAAUGUGAAGAUGUCAAAAAGUAGCAGUCACCAUUCUACAAGAGCUUGUAGUAGCAGUCACGUCCUGAGAAGAGAGUUCGGUAGUUUCUUCCACAUCUCAACCACAAACGCCUCACCCACUCUAUCCACCUUCACACCUUCUUGUACUACCUCAUCGUGUGCC
This 603-nucleotide long non-coding RNA is filed under the name Capsella grandiflora. Its description in RNAcentral is "long non-coding RNA (CGRA_LNC000894)". Lineage: Eukaryota; Viridiplantae; Streptophyta; Magnoliopsida; Brassicales; Brassicaceae. The record is from RNAcentral.